AUGAGGCUGAAGAAGGAGAAGGAUGGAACAUUUGUCGUAAAAGAGAUAGUCUGGGAACACAACCACAGGCUACAGCUCGCUCCGGAAAUGCUUGUCUUUCACUCCCACAAAAACUUUGACAAAACAAUCUUGGAGUACGUCAAGUACCUGUAGUUCAAAGGUAUUGAACACGCGCAAAUCAUGAGCAUACUAGGCGGUGAUGACCCUGGUAGCUACUUCCUCGAAAUGAAUGCCAAAGACCUGAUUAACCUGAAAGCAAAGAAUUCAAGGAUGGAUGAUGUGGACGAUGUCCUAAAGACUGUCAACUUCUUUAGGGAGAUGAAAGCUAUAAACAGGGAAUUCUUCUGUGACAUGCAACUCGAUGCAAACUGCCGAGGGGCCUAUCAGGGCUUCGGUGACUGCGUAACAUUUGACACCACAUAUAAGACCAACAAGUACCAUAUGCCACUUGGGGUGUUUGUCGGUACUAACAACCACUUACAGACUACAUUCUUUGGUUUUGCCCUGAUAAGAGAUGAGGAUGCAGAUUCAUUCAGAUGGCUGUUCAAGACAUUUUUAAGGUGCAUGAGAGGGAAGGCUCCUACAUGCAUCCUCACAGACCAGUGCCAGGCAAUGGCUUUGGCGAUACCAGAUGCUUUCGGGAACACAGUACACAAGCUGUGCCGCUGGCACAUUAUGAAGAAGUACAGGGAACACCUCGCAUACCGGUACUACCUGCACGAAGACUUUAAGGAUGAAUUCACAUGAAUCCUCAACUGGCCCCUCAUGGCAACUAAGUUUGAGGAUGCCUGGAAAGGACCCAUGGAUAGGUACAACCUCCAUGAUGAUGCCACGAUGGUGGCCAUGUGGAACGAGCAUGAGAAAUGGAUAUCAGCCUACUUCAAAGAAAUUUUCUGCGCCAAAAUGACAUCCACACAGUGAAGUGAGAGCAUGAACUAUGUGCUCAAGAAGAACUUUGUAAGUGAGAGACAAAACCUACACCGUUUUGUCAGCCAGGUAAACUCCUGCGUCAAAACCAGGAGGCAGAUAGAGAACCAAGAGACAAUGGGUAACAUACCAAGAGACAAUGGGUAA
RNAcentral lists this ribosomal RNA (1074 nucleotides) under Triticum aestivum (bread wheat). RNAcentral's name for it is "partial small subunit ribosomal RNA". The record is from RNAcentral. Lineage: Eukaryota; Viridiplantae; Streptophyta; Magnoliopsida; Poales; Poaceae.